This 2665-nucleotide long non-coding RNA is filed under the name Ornithorhynchus anatinus (platypus). RNAcentral describes it as "lncRNA (ENSOANG00000044532.1)". The record is from RNAcentral. Lineage: Eukaryota; Metazoa; Chordata; Mammalia; Monotremata; Ornithorhynchidae.
AGUAGUUGGAGGGUUGGGGUUUUUUUGUUUUUUUUUUCCAUUCAGUGGUAUCUAUGGAGCGCUUACUACGUGCAGAGCACUGUACUCGGCGCCCGGAAGGGACAAUCGGGCAACAGAUCGAGACGGUCCCUGCUCAAAGGGACUCCGAGCAACCGACGGGGACAAGGUGUCCAGCAAGGGGGGAGACAGGAAAGGGGGAUGGGGGGGGGUGGGGAGAAGAGAGAGCGCGCAGAUCCCAGGCGGGAGCUAAAAUCGAGCCUCUCCCCGCUGGCAGCAGCAGGAGGAGAAGGACGGGUCGGGACCGGUUAGCCGGCGGGGGUCGGCCGACGCUGGGAAAGUGGACAGCGGCGCCGGGCAGCGCAGAGGGGGUUCCCGCGACCUCGGGCGGCGAGGAGAUGGGGGGGACGGGGGCCGCCGCCGGGCUUCGGAGGGGGGAGCGCCCCCCGGCGGCGGGGCCGGUGCCGCACUCACCCGCUGGGGCCGGGGGGCCUCCCCGCGCUGUCGGAGGCGUCGGUGGGCCCUCCCUGGGAGCCGGGGACGUCACGCCGCCUGCCCCCCGACCCGCCCCCCACCUGCGCUCAAUGCCAACUUGGGCAGGAGCAGAGAGGACCCGCCGGCUUCCCUCCUCGCCUGCCCCCGCGAUAUCCAACUCUUCUUCACUUCCAUGGCUUCGGAGCAGCAUGCCUAGUGGAUAGAACAUGGACCUGGGAGUCAGAAGGACCUGAGUUCUAAUCCCAGCUCUGCCACUUGUUUGCUGUAUGACAUUGCGCAAGUCACUUAAUUUCUUUGUGCUGCAGUGAUCUCAUCUGUGAGAUGGGGAUUAAGAUCGGGAGCCUUUUGUAGGACUGGGUCCGGGUCCAAACUGAUUUGCCCAGUGCUUAGUACAGUAUGUGGCAUGUAGUAAGCACUUAAUUGUGGAAGACCUCUUGGAGAUGUGAACUUAGCAAUAUUUUGAAGGUGGGGAGAGUGGUGGCAUACAUGGAGGGAGGAGGGAAUUCCCGGCUAGGGGGAGGAUGUGGGAAAAGAGGAGGUGGUGAGAAUGAUGAGAUGGGGGCACAGGGAGUAAACUGACGCUAGAGGAGCAGAGUGUGCAUUUUGGGCUUUAGUAGAAAAUCAGUGAGGUGAGGUAGAAUGGGAUGAGUGCACUGAGAGCUUUAAAGCCGACAUAGUAAAGGAGUUUCUGUGUGAUGCGAAGGUGGAUAGGCAGCCAUUAGAGGUUCUUGAAUCUGUGCAGCUUACCCACACCCAUGGAAGUUUUCAAAAAAAAACCCCUACAGUCACUAGUGAAGAUCUUGUUAGCCUGAUGGUAAGGAAAAAUCUACAGAGUCAACAGAGGACCUUCAGAUGAUUACAAUUUGGCCAGAAGUUUGCUGAUUUAAGACAAACGUAGGCAGCACUGCUAUUUACGCUCAACAGAAUCCAUUGGAGAAUUUUAACAUCGUGAAGUUUGCUAAUAUCACAUUCAAAGACUUUACAUGUUACUAAAACACGACAAGCAAACUGAUGUUUAGCGAAGACCAUUUAUCACCUCCAGAAAGUUGCUGAGCCAAUCCUUUUGACUUUGUGCCACCACAUUCAUCCUUGUUCCAAAUAAUGUAAUUCUAGCAGCGUUGAAUUUUUUUCCUUAGCUGUUUUCAUUUAAAGGAAAAGCUUUAACAUACUUGCUGAACAUGGGGUUUAUGUUUUUACUUUUGGAAGUUUGCAGAGGAUUAUUUUGGUUUUCUUGAGCCCAUUUCCUCUCCUGUGAGCCCAGGAGAGACCUAGAGGUAACGUUCCACCCCUCCGCCCCACCCCCCCAAACACACACACACACGGUUUUCCCUGGGAAUUGUUCUGCUUAAUGUUAGCAGGUUCCAGAAGAUCAGUUUCUUCACAUCGAGGCAAAGCAGCCCUUGUUCAAGGCAGGGAAUGAGGAUGGUAUUUGUUAAGCACUUACUAUGUGCCAAGCACUGUUCCAAGCACUGGGGGGGUUAUAAGGUAGUCAGGGGCUCACAGUCUUCAUCCCCAUUUUAAAGAUGAGGUAACUGAGGCACAGAGAAGUGAAGUGACUUGCCCAAAGUCACACAGCAGACAAGUGGAGGAGAUGGAAUUUGAACCCACGACCUCUGACUCCCAACCCCAGGCUUUUAAGUAAAAGACAGGAAUGGCAGGGAAGCAGCAUGGCCUAGAGGAUAAAGUUUGGGCCUGGGAGCCAGAUCACCUGGGUUCUAAUCCUUUCAAUAGUAUUUAUUUAUUGAGCACUUACUAUGUGCAGAGCACUGUACUAAGCGCUUGGGAUGAACAAGUUGGCAACAGAUAGAGACAGUCCCUGCCGUUUGACGGGCUUACAGUCUAAUCACUUGCCUGCUGUGUGACCUUGGCCAAGUCACUUCACUUCUCUGUGCCUCAGUUCCCUCAACUGCAAAAUGAACAUUCAAUACUUGGUCUUUCCCCUACUCAGACUGUGAAGCUCACGUGGAACAAGGACUGUGGUCUAUAUGACUAACUUGUAUCUCCACCAGCAUUUAGAACAGUGUUUGACACAAACCAUAAAAAAAGGAGUGCUCAGGGGAUUCUCUGGUCAUAUUUUGUUGCCUGUCCCAGCCUGCCCCCUCUGAGGGCUAUGCUUCUGAUUUGGGGGUUAGAGGCACCUGCAUAAGAUUGCUUUCUGUUCUAGCAUGGUGGG